Molecule: long non-coding RNA, 530 nt
Organism: Phasianus colchicus (ring-necked pheasant)
Lineage: Eukaryota; Metazoa; Chordata; Aves; Galliformes; Phasianidae
Source: Ensembl
ACCCUGUGGGCCCCAUAGAUCAGACCCCAUGGGCCCCAUAGAUCUGACCCUGUGGGCCCCAUAGAUCCAACCCUAUGGGCCCCAACCCUAUGGACCCCAUAGAUCCAACCCUAUGGGCCCCACAGAUCCACACGAACACCCCACAGACCCCACAGCCCCAUAGGAACACUCACUCACCCCAUGGGCCCCACAGAUCCAUAGGAACACCCCACAGACCCCACAGCCCCAUAGGAACACUCACUCACCCCAUGGGCCCCAUAGACCCACAGGAACACUCAACCCCACAGCUCCCACCCCACAGACCCCAAAGCCCCAUAGGAACACUCACUCACCCCACAUCUCCAACCCCACGGACCCCACAGACCCACAGGAACACUCACUCACCCCAUGGGCCCCAUAGAUCCAUAGGAACACCCCACAUCUCUCACCCCAUGGGCCCCAUAGAUCCCCCCAGACCCUCAUCCCCCCCAACCAGCAGCUCACCUGUGGGGCGGGCGCCGUGGGGCCGCACCGUCGGCGUUGGGGCCGCG